GAUAGUGAAAAACCCUUCUACACCUACGUUAUUCCACUCUCUUUGCCUCCAAUAUGUUUUCCCCCAAAAUUGUCAUUUCCCCUCAAACCUAAUUCCCACCUCUUCAAUUGAGGCAGAAAGAUUUAGCAGAAAUACAUUGUUAAGCAAAUUUUGCGAGACACUCGGCUUGAAGAUCCAGAAACGAGAUUUUCUUCCGCUUCGGAGUCUGUUGAAACGCCAUUCGAAUCGAACACUUCCUUGUUCACUGCAGGUACUUGUAUUCCUAAUUUGUUUGUUAAUGCUUGUGCAAAUUAUUUCGUUUUUUAAUUUUAAACUUCAAUUGGCCUUUGGAAUGAAUAUUCGGGUAAUUAUUUUACUGCUCUAGUUUCAUUUUCGCCUGUGAUGGUAAUCAAUCAUGUGGGUUUCAAUUUCAUUGACUGAAGAAUACAGUUGGGAAAAAAAAAAAACUAUCUUUCUAAUUUCCUCAAAAUUUAGAACGAUUUGAUCAAAUCCUAUAGAAUAUGAUAUCCGUGUUGUUUAACUAUGUGGGGGCUGCUUCUGGUGCUGUUCUUCUUUUGGCAUUUAAUGGCACAUUUGGUACUCGCUAAUAGAUGGGAGGGAAGAGUAUUAAAGAAUCUAAAAUAUUUUGGCACAUGCGGUGCAGUGAAUGGUUUGUUUAUAAAUUUUUCAGUUUUUUCCUCUUCCUUGGCUUCUUGGCCUUUAUUUUGUUACAAAUGGUUUUUAUUUUUCUAGAUGCUAGUUGUGGGUUUUUCUAGCUGUGUCAUAUGCUGUUUUGUAUUGGUGUAUUCUUGUGUUUCAUUAACUGUGUGGACACUUGAAGAAAUGACUGUUAGUUUCUGCCAAUUUUCCAAAAAUUUGUUUUUCUUAUAGUUCAUUUUCCUGCCUUCUAUAAAGAAAUUGAUAGCAGUGAGGAAAGAGGAUUAGAGUGUUCUUUAUGUAUAUGCGGGCAAACCUAUGAAGUAAUGUUGGAUUAGUUUGUAGUUGAUAGGAAACUUUAGUCGUAUUUUCUUCAUGUACUAUGCCACUUGAAGGCUUGAACUCCAUAUUUCUUGUCACAACUUACAGAAAAUUGGAAUUCGCCACGUCCAUAUCCUGUAGUUGAGGCCUUCAAUGACUAGUAUGAUUUAUAUAUUCCCAUACUCAUGUCCAGUGUGUGAGUCCUGAGUCCUGUUGAAAGCUGUGCUCCUCUUAAUUGGAGCCAUUUACCUAUGGCAAGGAGAGCAGGUGGGGUGGUUUAAUCGUCAUUUUUUUUUUUUUGAAUAUAUAUAUAUAAUAAUUCUAUUUAUCAAUUAUGAUAAUAGAAUAUCAGUGAUGCGAUAAUCUAUGUGGAAUAAUGAGAUUGUGUAGUUCAAUUUUUAUGAGAGAGGGAGAAGAGACAUGGUUUGUGACGGAUAAUGAGUUGUUGUAUCAUCGAUAUUCCAACAUCAUGAUGAUAAAAGAAUUACUCAAUUAUAAAUGGCUUAUCAUAAAGUAGAAAUUGUACUAAUGAGCUAAAAACAAAAAGACCACUAACCCAUUAAUGACCUAAUCCAAAUAUAUGAAGCCCAAUAAUUGAUUAAUGAUCAGUCCCAUCUUUCAACACAUUUACAUAAGGAAUUCGAAACGAGAUUUCUUCCAUGUAUUCAUAGUCAAAAGUAUUAAGGUUUAGAUUAAUUUUGUUUCAUAAUGAAAAAUUAUCAAUCAUAGUAGGGUAGGUCUCUAUUAUAUAGUUUUGUUUUUAUAUUUUCCGUCUCAAGUAUUCAAGUAAUUAUUUGAAUAUAGAUAAUAAAUAUUUAAAUCAAUAUUUGAAUAAUAAAUAUAUAAUUCAAUAUUUUAUAAAAAAAUAAAUAAAUUAAGGGCUUGUUUUAGAGCGAUUUUUUGACCCAAAAAAAUGAUUUUUGACCGUUAUUUUACUAUUUCAGUCGUCAUAUUUGACUUCUUUUCUCAUGGGUGGACCCCACUUUUCUCCUAACGGUCAAAAAAUCAAUUUUCAAAAUUGCUCCCAAACAGGCUCUAAAAAGUUUAAACGGUAUGGGUGGGGAUUCUCAUUCUCGCAGCCUCAAUCAGCUCAUAUAUAUUUACUAAAAUAAGUAUUAUUCAUAUUACACAUGCAUAUAAAAUUUACAUUUGAACCUAUAUUAGUAAUCUUCUUAGAAAUAUAAAUUAUUAAACAAGAAAAAAUGUAUUCUAUAUUUCAUUUGGGAUCAUUUUUCUAAUGAUCUCAAAUCUUUACCUUUUUGUAGACUUUAUCUCAAUUUUCAGUUUGUGCCAUUUAUAAUCUCAAAUCUUUUAUUUUGUUACACCACAAAAACAAAUAAAUAUGAAUUUGACCAUUAAUUGAUCUAAAAACUGAAAAUUUAACCAAAUUAUAAAGGGAUAAAACGAUGGAUCAGUCUAGAUGUACAGAAAUUUUUUUGUACGAACCUCCUACAACUAAACACACAUUGGUGUGGUGGAUGAUUUAUUUUUUGGAAUAAAAUAUUCACCUGUAAGAUUUUUGUGAAGCUUCUGACAAUGGUUUGCCUGGACACUUGGAUUUUUUCUAAAACGAUAGCUUUACAUUUUUCUAACAUUAAAUAAUUAAAUAUAAUUAAAUUAAAAAACCAAAACAAAAGAAAAUAAAACUCAUCAUCUUCUUCCACUUCUCCCCAAACAAAUAGAAAAUUGGAAAACCAUUAGCCCCCGUCGGCCCGUGGCCAAAAAAGCAUCUAACCAAAAUGGAACCCAGAUGAAAAACAUCUUCUCCACUGCCAGAUUGAGAGACAUUCUUCAAAAUCCCUGCUAAAUUGCUCAAAUUUAAAGCCAACGAGAGGCACAAUGUCCUCCAAAAUCUGGUCUUCCCAAUCAACAGUGGUGUCACCAUCUCAACUUUUCUUCUCGCGUUCAUAAUUGGAAUCGUCCUUUGCCGACUCGCUAUCACCAUCACCUCCAUCAAAUGGUGGCGAGAACACUGGCUUCCUCAAAUUAAUUACAGCAAUUGCAAUUGAUUACAGCAAAUUACAAGGUUUGAAGAUAUUACAAUCUGGAUCUUAAUUCAUCAAAUUAUAGGGAUUACAACAAAUUAAGUUGACUACAGCAAUUGCAAUCAAGAUCUUAAUAAUUCAUGAUUCUAAAAUUCAGAUGAAAGUCUGUCCCAAACUGUUAAGGUUUCGGAUCCACCCUAAUAAGGUCAACCUUAUUAAGAGGAGAAGCACAAGAACUUUAUAAAUUGGUAUUUAUUUCGGUAUUAAAUCGAUGUGGGAUAAUACAUCCCUUAAUAGGCUCCCUCAAGAUGGUGGCUCAUUUUGAACAGAUCAAUCUUGAAAUCCACGGGAUGAUUCUGAUACCAUGUUAAAAUUUGGGGUCUACCUUAUUAUCCUAAUAAGGUCAACCUUAUUAAGAGAAGAAACUUAAAAUCUUUAUAAAUUGAUAUUUAUUUCGGUAUUAAACCGAUAUGGGAUAACACAUCCCUUAACACAAACCCAGAACACGGUAACUAAAACCUGUUAAUUUCAAAUCUAAUUGAUUGUAAAGAAAAAAGCGUUGAGAUUUAUGAGGUUUGAAGAAUUUUUUUUUUUUUUUUUUUGAUAGGUGAGGUUUGAAGAAUCUUGGCAUACAAAAGCUAAAACUUACGAUAAAACUAAGGUCCUAUGAGUUGAAUGGAUGUUCUGAAAUAGUGAAAGCGAAGCACAAAUUUCAAGAUUUUUGGGUUUUGAUUUCUGGGGUUUAUGGAAACAUGAAAGCGAAGCAGAAAGUGUCGGGAUUUAUGGUGUUUGAUUUCUAUGUUUCAUAAAGAUGGAUUUUGUUACUCCCCUCACAUAGCACCUUGGCACGUCUAUUUUGUUAAACAACCCAAAGAAAAUAAAGAAGAAAAAGGAGGAGGCUAGGGUUUCAUUGAUACUACGUAAUUAAUUAAAUGCUAAAAAGAUGGUUUAACCUAAAUACAAAGAGAUAAUAUAUAGGCUAAACAAAGGAAACUAAAAAGUACUAUUCUACCCUUAAUAAAUAAUAAAUAAUCCUAUAUUUCUUAACAUCUCCCCUCAAACUCACGAUGCGGUAGCUACAAGCAUCGAGAGUUUGCCAAAUAGAAAACGAAAAUGAGAAAUAGAAUGCGACUUGGUAAAAAAAAUCUGCAAGCUGCAAAGAAGAAUAAACAAAGGGCAAAGUAAUUGUGCCAUGCUUGAGAUGAUGAUGAGUAAGAGGACAAUCGAUCUCAAUGUGCUUAGUUCGUUCAUAAAAAUCGAGUUGUGAGCAAUCUGAAUAGAAAUUUGGUUGUCGCAAUACAUAGGAGUGGGAUGAGAAAGAAAAACUCCCAUAUCUGCAAGUAACUAACGUAACCAAACAAUCUCUUUAGUAGUAGAUGCCAUAGCACAAUAUUCUGCUUUGGUGGAAGAUUGAGAAACAAUAGAUUGUUUCUUGCUUUUCCAAGAAAUAAGAUAAUCACCUAAAAAGAUACAGAAAGCAGUAACAGACUUGCGAUCUGUGGGAUCACUGCCACAAUCAGCAUCAGAGUAUGCACGUAGCUCCAAGGAGGAGGUGGAUGGAAGUAACAGACUCUGAAAGACUGUACCCCGAAGAUAUCGCAAAAUGUGAAGAACAACUGCCCAAUGAACUGUAGUGGGAGAAGCAACAAACUGACUAACAAUAUGAACAACAUAUGCAAUAUCUGGACGAGUAAUAGUGAGAUAUAUCAAGCUCCCAACAAUAGUACAGUAUAAAGUAUGAUCUGAGAAAGGUAAACCGUCAGAAGAAGAAUACUUCGUGUUAACCUCAAUUGGAGUAUCAACAAUCUUAUUAUCAGUAAGUCUUGCCCGCUCAAGAAUAUCUGCAACAUAUUUCGACUAAGAAAGAAGAUAACCUCUGGGUGAGAAGGCUACCUCAAUACCCAAGAAAUAUUAUAGAGAACCCAAAUCUUUCAUUUCAAACUGUCUAGCUAACUCUGUCUUCAAAACUGAAAUACCAUCAAUAUUAUCACCAGUAAUAAUCAUUUCAUCAACAUAUAAAGAUAGAAUGAUACGACUUGCAUCAGUACUCUUAACAAAAAGAGCAGAAUCAUGACUACUAGAAGCAAAUCCAAGGGAAGAGAUCACAACAGAAAAUUUCUUAAACCAAGCACGAGGUGUUUGUUUGAGACCAUACAACGCUUUCUUGAGCUUGCAAACAUACUCAGAAUCAUGUGAAACACCAGGAGGGGGUGCCAUAUAAACCUCUUCUUGAAAAUCUCCAUUCAGGAAGGCAUUUUUAACAUCAAGUUGAGAGAUACAUCACUGACGAACCAAAGCUACUGCAAUAAGAGUACGAAUAGUAGUCAUUUUUGCAACAUAAGCAAAUGUCUCCUCAUAAUCCAUACCAUACCGUUGAGAGUAUCCCUUUGUAACCAACCUAGCUUUGUAUCGCUCAAUUGACCCAUCAGAAUUAGUCUUGAUCUUAUAUACCCAACGACAACCAACAACACUCUUACCAGAAGGUAAAGUAACCAAAUUCCAAGUACCAGUCUUAUGCAAAGCAGAAAGUUCAUCAUUCAUAGCUUGCUGUCAAAGAGGAUCAAGAAUUGCCUCUUUAUAGGAAGAGGGCUCAGAGAGACAAUGAAUAGAAGCUAAAAAGGUAGAAAAUGAUAAAGAAUAACAAGAAUAAGCAAAAUCUGGUAACUUUGUAGACUUACGAAUGCGUAUGGAUUGACGUAGAGACGGAUCCACAAUCUCAGAUGGAGCUUGAGGGACCGUAGGAGAAGAGGACGCUUCAGGCGUGCCGGAGAGUAAAGUGUCAGUACCUGCGGAAUGAUUAGUACAAAUUGGUUGUAAAGACAACGGGGUAGGAACAUGAGAAUGACCAUUGGAAGUAGUAGGCUCCUGAGAAGACAAAUUAUCAGGAUUGUCAGAAAAAUGAUCUAUACGAAUAAGAUCAGAUCUAGUCAGACUAUAAGUAGUGGAUGGAAUAGAAAAGAAAGGCAUAUGCUCGAGAAAAACAACAUGACGAGACACGUAAAGUUUCUGAGUUAUUGGAUCAAAAAAAUGAUACCCCUUUUUACCUUCACCAUAACCAAAAAAGACACAAAUAGCAGAUCGAGAUGACAACUUGCUGCGUUCUACAUGAGGACGAAGAACGAAACAAGUACAACCAAAAACUCUAAAGAGAGAAUAAUCGGGGUAUACUCAUACAACUUUUCGAAAGGAGAAAACCCUAAAAUAUGAGAAGAUGGACUUGUAUUAAUCAAAUCUACAGCAGUAAGAACAGUUUCACCCCAAAACACACUAGGGACAGAUGCAGACAACAAGAGAGAGAGCAGUUUCAACAACGUGCGUAUGUUUUCUUUCAGCAACACCAUUUUGCUCAGGAGUAUCUGUACACGAAGUUUAGUGAAUAGUUCCAUCUAAAGUAAGAAGCUCACAAAAUUUAUUAGAAGUGUAUUCCCCACCCAAAUCACACAUAAAACAUUUGAUAACAGCAGAAUGUUGAGUUUUAACAAGAGCACGAAAGGCUAAGUAUAUCUCAAAAAAUUCAAAACGAUGUUUCAUUAAAUAAAUCCAGCAAUAACGAGUGUGAUCAUCAAUAAAGGAAACAUAAUAUCGAGAUCCUCCUUUUAUGGCAAUAGGAGAAGGCUCCCAUAUAUCAGAAUGAAUCAAAUCAAAUGGAGAAGAAGAAAUAGAAAUACUUCGAUUAAAAGGUAAAGCUGAAAAUUUUGUCAGUUUGCAUCCACUACAAUCAGAAAUAUCACAAGGGUGUAAAUUUCCUAAAGCCCCUGUAGAAGCUAAAAAUCUCAAACGAGACGACGAAACAUGACCUAGACGAGAAUGCCAUAAAUAAAAAUUAGAAGAAGAAGGACUCAAACGAAAGAAGACAAAUCAACACUAGUAGCGGCAACAGCAAUUGACACUUUUAGCUCAUCCAAAAUAUAUAGUCCACUCUUCCUACGACCUGUCCCAAUUAGUUUCUGAGACUGCAGAUCCUGCACAUAACAAGAAGAAGAGAAAAAUGUGACUAAAUUACCGGAAUCACAUAACUGACCAACAGAAGCAAGAUUUAAUGUGAGUUUCGGAAUAUGAUAAAUAUUAGGGAGGGACAAGUGAUGUGUGACAACAGAACCAACACUUGCUAAUGGCAUAGGAGUGCCAUCAGCAGUCAUGACAGCAAUAGAGGACGAAGGGGACACAGAAGCAAAAGACGAAAAAUCUGGAGACAUAUGAUGUGAAGCACCAAAAUCCAAGACCCAUACAGAAUGUGACAUACCUGAAGAACUAUGAGGCAACUGACUUAUGGAAGAAGCAGACAUAGCUUGAGGCUGUAAGGAGAGAAACUUCUGAAAUUGCUCAGCCAAAGUACUAGGAUCAGUAAAAUGACCUGAUGAAGCUACUGCUGCAGUAUUAGAUUGUGGUGGUCUAUGAGCAUUAGAUCGUGAUUGGUUGCCAGGCUUCCAAGCUUGAGAUUGCUGCUGUAAUUGAUUCGACUGUCUCAACUUAGGACACUGAGCCUUCCAAUGACCUUUAUGCUUACAGAAACUGCACUCGUCAAAGGCAACCCUUGUGUAAGGCUUAUUCUGAUUAUUAGAGGAUGGCUUAGAAGACACUGCUAAUACAGAAGGAUUAGAAGCAGAAAGAAUUCCAUUUUCAGCAUAAGACUUAUGACGUAUUUCUUUAGCCAAUCACUCACUGACAACUAAAUCAACAGAAGGAAGUGAAGAACGAUGCAAAAUUGAACCUCCGAGUCCUUCAAAAUCACUACGAAGUGCCGUUAAAAAUUGUACCAACCGUUGCUGCUCUCUACGAGUAAUAUAGGCAGCACAUGCCUUUAAUUCUGUCGUUUCUGUAAGGGCCAAUUGAUCCCAAAGAUCUGUCAUAGCAGAAUAAAACUCCUGAAUACUUAUAUUAUUUUGAUGAAGAGCUCGUAUAUCAUUCUCCAAUUGAUACUGCUUUGCAAAAUUUGACUGAGUGAAUAAUCUUUGCAGAUGAUCCCAAACCUCCUUUGCCGUCUCAUACUUCACCAACUCUCUACCUAUGGAAUGCUCCACAGAGUUGUUAAUCCAAGUAAUAAUUUUUGAAUUGUUUGAUUCCCACGUAUCUAUUAAAGCAGCAUAACCCUCAUUGGUAUUCUCAGGUUUCACAGAAGUUCCACUAAUGAAUCCUCACAUCUUUUACCCUUAAGAAAAUUUUUCACACGUAACUCCAAUACGAAUAAUUCUUUCCAUCCAACCUCACACUCACAGACUGAAGCGAAUCGUCUCUUUCAAUAGCCAUAAUAAAAAAAUAACAGAUUGCAGAAAUACCGGAUUGCAAAUUUAACAGAUUUGUCCCAUGAAAUCUAACUCUGAUACCAUGUUAAACAACCCAAAGAAAAAAAAGAAAAAAAAAGGAGGAGACUAGGGUUUCAUUGAUACUAUGUAAUUAAUUGAAUGCUAAAAAGAUGGUUUAACGUAAAUACAAAGAGAAUAUAUUUAGGCUAAACAAAGGAAACUAAAAAAGACUAUUCUACCCUUAAUAAAUAAUAAAUAAUCAUAUAUUUCUUAACAUAUUUUAGACGCCAACAGAGGCAUGAGGUCAUCGAAGUGAUACAGUUUGAGGCGUCUUCAUGUUUCGAGGCGUUGCUUUCGAAGUGUGAGAUGACCAAAGCACCUCUUCGCCAUGAGUUUCACAAAUGGAUCUUUUGGUCAAAAUUGUCUCUGUGUCUUUAAGAAUGAUUGAUGUGAUAUCUCUAUCAUAUGUUAAUUCAAAAUGAGAAGAAUUAAUUGUCCGCCCAUCUAGGAAGCGACUGAUGAACUCCUACAAGCUCGCACCGUGGGAUAAUUAAACGUCUCGCAUCUAGUGGUGCUUUCACCUCUAAAUACCAAGAACUUGACCAAGAAUAAGAGAUGUAUGACAUACGUGUUAUUCCACAACCAAGAUAUUAUAUUUUCUCCUUCCAAGAGUUUGUGCAUUUCGGCAUCGUCACCACCAUCGUCAACUAACUUGAUCGUCGGAGUGUAUGUGGCCAUCAUCUCUACCGCUGGUACUGGCCAUAUACGUCUGAUCGUUUGUUGUUGCACGCAAGAAAGAACAGGUGGAGGGUCCAAUUCGCAUGGUCAACAGAUUUGAUUUUUGGUUUUCAUUCCGGUGGUCGACGGUUAGCAGGGCUAGUAAUUUUCCAGUUUCGAUUUAUUUGGGGUGGAAUGGUGAGUAGGGUAGUAUGGUGGAAGAAGAUAAUGAGUUUUAUUUUCUUUCAUUUUGAGUUUUUUUUUUAAUUAAAUUAUUUAAUGCGAAGGUAUUUAAAACUUUCGAUAAAACUAAGGUCUUAUUAGUGUUCACAAUUCAAAGUUUACACGUCUACCACACGGAAAUAUGAAUUAUUUUAUAAUCAAUUUAUUAUUUAUCACGAGUCAAGAAAAGACCGACAAGUUUGCCACUUGUGUAAUUAGAAACCGACACUUUGACUAAUGAUGACGCAAACACAUACUACAGGAAACAUAAUUAAUAACGUCAUUAAAUCCUCAAUGAUUUGAAGUAAUCAAUAAAGUCGAAGAAAGUCAGUCGGUGGAAGUAGUUAAUUAACUAAUCACGUCAAACACGACCUUUAAGACACGAAAUCUAGAUCAUUGUUUUAACAAAAAUGAAAUAUUUUACAGUUGUCCUCUUUUUGCCUUUUCCUUGUUCUUCUUUUUAUUUUUUAUUUUUUUUAAUGCGUUAAGACAACUUUUAUCUUUUUUGUACAAUUACUUUUUGUCACGUUUACCAAUAAAAAUAUUAAAACGAAAUAAAAUUUAAUAUUGAACAAUCAAGUUCAAGCGUAUUGAAGCAUCAACCAAACUUGCAAGUAGGAAGAAGUCUAAUUAAAAUUUCCCUUUUAUUCUUGAUGCCAUAAUACUGGCCCUUAUUAUGGUCAACAUUAAUUGUUUUAGUUAAUAAAGUUUAUUUAAUGAAAUUAAUUCUCAUCCAAUGAUGAAAGUGAUAAACAUUAAACAUAAUUGCGAAGAUAACAGAUGAUAAGAUAAACUUUUAAUGAGAAAUUACUAAAAUUAAUUUGACAAAUUAUUUAACUAACAUUGAGAUUCUGAGAAUCAAGAUUAAAAAAGAUUAAAUAGUCUAAAAUAAUUUUUGUUUUCAUAUUUUUCUUCUCUAAUAUAAUCGACUUUACCGGACAAAAUAAUUUAACAUUCUAACUAAAAAGUGUACUGCAGUAACUAUCAUUCGCAUAAAAGAAAAGUAUAGAACCACAGCUAUAUCUCAUGAUUACAAAAGUAAAUUGAUUCAAGAUGAAAACAAACAAAACAUUUAUUUAUGUCAUAAAAAAAUCACACCUUCAACAAAACCCCCCACCCACCACUCUACACAACAGACCAGAAAGGAAGGAAAAAACACUAUUGUUGAAUGCCAAGCGAGAUCAGCUCCACGGCGACAUUGGAAAUCAGCAUAGUUGGAUCGCCUAGAAGAACAGAUAAUAGAAUUUUGAUAAACGAUUUGAUCUUCGUGAGGAAGGUGUUUCUACCCCCUCUGUUUCUAUUAUAUCUAACCAAUUCUCUUAAAUCCAUAUUCUCCAACGCCAAGUUCCCAUGCCUCAUGGAAGCCUCUUGUACCAUUUCAGUUAUACAAUACACAUGAAAAUGAUACUUUUUGCACUGGGAAACAUAAGACCAUCCCAGAACAUUUUUCUCGUCACGAGAAAUCUUCUUCUUCCCGCACUUUCCACACCUUGACGAAACCUUGGUCUCGAGAUCAAAUAUCGUACCAUCAAUCACUAGUUUCUUUUCAAGUUUUCGACAACACGGGUGUAAAUCCAAGUUGUCUUCUUCACAGUGGUAGUUAAAACCGCAUAUGUCCUUUCCACAUGCAUCGCAGCACUUUGAAAACACUCUGCGAUCCUUUUUACCCAAUCUGGUGAAUGGCUUAUCGAGAAAUGUGAAGAUGGAGCCACCAAAAUUCUCGUGGGAAACUUCAGAUGUGGGGUGCCUACACUCCUUGUGCAGUUCUUGACCACAGAGAUUGCACACGUACCUUUCUCCGGACCCUUUCAUCUUGCAGCCGUCGCAGCUGAACAACUUCGCAUAUGUUUUCAACUCAUAGUGCUUAUAGCAAUCAUGGAUUUGUGAUCCGAUGGUCAACAUAUUGUCUCCUGAAAAUUUUUGGGACAUUAAUUAAUGAACUAAAUACACAGUUGGUAUAAUAUCAGAAACUCGACUAGACUGAACAAUACGAAUAGAAGAAAGGUUCAAAUAUAGUACCUGAUUUGCUCGUGACGAUGAAUGCUAUUUCUUCAGCCAAAUUUAAACAAAAGAUUUGUAAAGAAACAGGGUCUAUGCUCAAGCAUUUGUUGGGAAGAAACUUGUGUAGUUGUUUAAAGUGCAUUUUUAUGAAGCAGAAGGGUUUAUUUAUAGUUUGGUUUUGACGCGUAAACAGCGUUUUGAAUUUAAGAUUUUUUAUUUUUUAUUUUAGUGACUUGCGUGUCAAGUCUCUCUUGAAGAUUAAUCCUCACCUUCUUAAUUAAGCAAUAGUUUCCACGCAUUUUGAAAUUAUCCUCUGUUAUCCAGCUGUCAACUGACGCCUAAUUUAUAUACCAUUCCAUGCUCUAAUUACAUUGAUGGCACUAAAAUUUUAAAUAAUUAUCUUAUUAAUUAUUAACUUUCAUGUUUACGGUAUUAUGCAGUUGAGUUUCUUAAUGUUACAUUGAUCAUCAUUUGCUUAUAUAUAUUAGCAUUAAAUUUUAAUGUGGAGUCGUUAAAUGUACAACAUUAUUUAUACAUCAAAUAAGCACAAAUCGUUGUUAGAAAACCCAAGGUUUAUCGUACGGUUUAAGCUGAAAAUCUAACUAAAAUUAAAGCUGUAUUACAUUUUCUUGUUUGAACAUUUUUAAUCUUCAAUUCUUAACUACUCAAUUAGUGUUGACUCGACAUAGUAAAUAACAUCAUCUUGUGUUGGUACUCGUUGUGACAUACAAUUUAAUGUUAAUAAUUAAAGGAGUGACAUCAAUGUCAAUAUUAUGAGCAUAAGUGACACAAAAAAUAAAAAAUAAAAAAAAUUAUGACCAUUGAUGUAAUUACUCGAAACUUCAGUGAUAAUUGACGAAAUUAACCCAUAAUCCCACACAUACAUGAUAAUGUAAAACUCAAUUUUUUCUAGAAGAUUCAAGGGAUAUGAUGACUAAUUUUGCCAACGGGCUUAUCAUAAUUUCUAUGAGUUGGUUGGUCUUCUUCAGGAAAUUAAAUUAUAAGAAUUUCGAUUUGAAUGAAAAUCACAAGUAACAUAGAGAUUUGCAUCUUAUCUUUUUUGGUCGGUUUUAUCUGCAUCUUCAGUGGGGCCCACGUGAAUAUGCUGGAAAGGGUUUAUUUUUAAUUAGAUUUUAACGCGUAAACAGCGUUUUGAGCUUAAGAUUAUUUAUUUAUUUAUUUAUUUUUUUAGUUUAGUGACUUUCCUGUCAAGUCUAUCUUGAAGAUUAAGAUCCUAUUUGGGAGUGAUUUUGAGAAUUAAUUUUUUGAUCGUUAUGAGAAAAGUGGGGUCCAUCUAUGAGAGAAAAAGUUAAAUAUGACGAUUGAAAUAGUGAAAUGACAGUCAAAAAAUCAAUUUUUUGAAUGAAAAAAUUGCUCCCAAACAGGCCCUAAUCCUCACCUUCUUAAUUAAGCAAUAGUUUCCACGCAUUUUGAAAUUAUCCUCUAUUGUUAUUCAAAGGUCAAAUGACGCCUAAUUUAUAUACAAUUCCAUACUUUAAUUACAUCGAUGGUCACAAAAAUUUUAAAUAAUUAUUGAACUUUCAUUUUACGGUAAUAUUCAAUUAAGUUUCUUAAUUUUGCAUUGAUAAUCAUUUGUUUAUAUAUAUUCACAUUAUGUCGUUAAAUGUACGACAUUAUUUAUUACAUCAAGUAAGCACAAAUUGUUGUUAAAAAAAUCCAAGAUUUACCGUACGAUGUAAGCUAAAAAUCUAAUUAAAAUUAAAGCUAACAUUUUCUUGUUGGAACAUUUUUACAGGGGUGUCCUCAAUUCAGAGUUGAAUAGAUUUCUUAAUAUUUAUAAAUUUUUAUGGAUUGUAUGGUAUUUAUAGAAUUUAAUAGAUUUCAUAAGAUUUGAAUGAAUUUUUAUUUUGUAGAUUUUAAUAGAUUUUCAUGGAUUUUAUAGAUUUUAGUAGAUUUGGCUAAAAUUUCUACAGUUCUUUUUUGAUAUACUCAG
Molecule: long non-coding RNA, 13079 nt
Filed under: Olea europaea (common olive)
Lineage: Eukaryota; Viridiplantae; Streptophyta; Magnoliopsida; Lamiales; Oleaceae
Description: long non-coding RNA (OEUR_LNC002770)
Source: RNAcentral